ACGCCAUUCUCCUGCCUCAGCCUCCCGAGUAGCUGGGACUACAGGCGCCCGCCACUGCGCCCGGCUAAUUUUUUGUAUUUUUAGUAGAGAGGGGGUUUCACCGUGGUCUCGAUCUCCUGACCUCGUGAUCCGCCCGCCUCAGCCUCCCAAAGUGCUGGGAUUACAGGCGUGAGCCACCGCGCCCGGCCAGUUCAAUGGAUUUUAAAAAUUAUUAUUCUCUAGAAAAAAGACCACGAACUUUGGAGUGGACAUCCUGAGACCUGCCUACGAAGACCAUUAGGUGGCCUCCAGAAGACACUCCCCUGAUUCCUACACCGAGGGAACACACAGCAGCAAGCUAGGAAAGAAGGGGUGACCCAGCCCAACGCUGUAAACCAGGGCGCGAACCGGCGUUGAGCUGUGCAGCUGCGCCCUGGGCUCCAGUCCUGCUCUGCCGCAGACCCCACCGGAGCCAGCACCUGCCUCCCCGACCCUCGCUGGGGCGGCUGUGAGAUGAGCCCAGAGCCUUCCUGAGCCAACCCUCGCAAGGAAAGUCUGUCUGUUCACCCCACUAUCCUUGUCUUGAAGGAUGAAGAAAAGAGGGCCCCCCGGGAGGUCCCAAAAGGUGGAAUGGACAUCUGGGAUCCAAGCACAGCAAUUUCUUUAUUUUUCUUAAGCCUCUCACUAGAGGAUGAAAAUCGUUCUGCAUAAAGGCCUGGGCUUUAUGAAAAAUAUAUUCACACCUCCCGUGUCCGAGCUGGGAUACCAAAGAAGUUCCUGGUUGAGUACUACUUAUGAAUGAAGGAUUCAGGGGAUGCACAGGACACAGAGGAAUCUGGGGGAUAUUAUGGUUCUGGGAAUGUGGAAUGUAACGUCUCAUCUUCAGCCCAUCUGUGCUACUGAUCAUCUCAUUCCAGAAGCCAUGCCUUCUCUCAGGAGCAGACAGCACAAGACUUUCCUGCCAGAGGCACAGUCCCCAGUGGGAGUAGCAUCCACAUAAGACAGGAUGCAGAGAUGUCUUCAAGCAGCUUCAAACAAAACUUCAAGAAAGAAAGUGCAAGUGAAAAAGGAAAUUCAUCCUUCCAGUCACUUAACACAGCACUGUCACGGACACCUUGUGCCUCCUUAAAAUUCGUAUACUGAAGUUCUAAGCCCCAGUACCCCAGAAUGUGACCUUCUUUGGAAAUAGGGUCAUUGCAGAUAUGAUUAGUUAAGAGGAGAUCAUACUGGAGUGGGCUUUAAUCCAAUAUGACUGGUGUCCUUAUGUAAAGGGGAAAUUUGGACACAGACACACACAAGGAGAACACCAUGUGAACUGAAGUCAAAGAUUUGGGUGAUGCUUCUACAAGCCAAGAAAUGCCAAAGAUGACCAGCAAAGCACCGGCAGCUGGUGGAGGAGCCUGGACCAGAUUCUUCCUCACAGCCCUCAAAAGGAACCAAUCUUGCCAAAGCUUUGACUUAGACUUCUAGCCCCCUGUGAUGGUUAAUGUUAAGUGGCAGCUUGACUGGGUUAAGGGAUGCCCAGAUAGCUGGUAAGACAGUAUGUCUGUGUGCAUCUCUCAGAGUGUUUCUGGACAAGAUCAGCAUUUGAAUCCUUAGAGUAAAGAAGAUCUGCCCUCACCCACGUGCAUCACCCUAUCUCUGGAGAGCGCGAACAAACAGGAGGAAGGGCACAUAUGCUCCUUCUGUUCCAGCUGGCACAUCCAUCUUCUCCUGCCCCCUGACUUCAGAGCUCCUGGUUCUCGGGCCUCAGGAUUCCAGCACUUACAUGAGAGCGUGCUUCCCCCUCCCUACUCCACCCCUAGGUUCUCCGCCCUUUGGCCUCUGACUGAAUUCCACCACCAGCUUUUCAGGGUCUCCAGCUUGCAGACGGCAGAUCGUGGGACUUCUUGGCCUCCAUAAUUAUGUAAGCCAAUUCCCAUAAUAAAUCUCCUAUCUAUCUAUCUAUCUAUCCAUCUAUCAAUCAUCUAUCUAGUCUAUCUAUCUAUCUAUCUCUAUCCUAUUGAUUCUGUGUCUCUGAGGAACCCUAAUACACCUCCAGAACUGUGAGAUGAUACAUUUCUGUGGUUUAAGCCACUCAGAAGGUGGUACUUUGUUUCACCAGGCCUAGCAAACUAAUACAAGUGCAUGGAAGGUGACUACUCAUGACUGCAACUUAGAGAACAAGGGUUAUAAUAAAAAUAAAAGUGUUAUACAAAGGUGGCAAGAUAAAUGACAAUAAAUGAAAAUAUUAACAUGUGAAUUAAAAAGUAAAGAUAUUUUUCCUAGCAUUCUCCCAGAAAGUAGAGACGCGUCUCUCUUGUUUGCCAUCAUAUCCAGCAAUGGCAAGAUAAGUUCUAGGCACUUCAUAAAAAUUUGUUGAAUGAAA
This 2347-nucleotide long non-coding RNA is filed under the name Homo sapiens (human). RNAcentral's name for it is "non-protein coding RNF144A-AS1:3". The record is from RNAcentral. Lineage: Eukaryota; Metazoa; Chordata; Mammalia; Primates; Hominidae.